This is a long non-coding RNA of Silurus meridionalis, 748 nucleotides long. RefSeq lists it as uncharacterized. The transcript is spliced from 3 exons. The record is from RefSeq and is a predicted model, not a curated record. NCBI's taxonomy places the organism in Eukaryota, Metazoa, Chordata, Actinopteri, Siluriformes, Siluridae.
CAUCUUCAUCAUCUGGCCCGAUGAAGAAAAGGAACUUGACUCGAGAACCUCCUGCACCUGUUGUACCAGAUUUCACACCCUGUAUGCUUUUAUUCUCACUCAGUCUUCAGACUCUCAGGGUGGAUUUGUGCUCCUCACAGGACCUUUUAUUUAUUCUUUCUCUCUCGCUGUCUUGAUCUAGUGUGAGGAGUCGUGUGAAACUUUGAGGAGCUCUUUGCUUUUGUUGGUUUUUCUUAUUAAAUCCACAGUUUCAUCACAUGGAGCCGUGGAGCAGGAAAUUUUUUUUACUAUUCAUUCUGAUAUUUAUGAUCAAUUUAUUCUAAAUGCUGUGGAAACGUCACCGAACAUCAAGAUUAUACAUAAAGCAGAGGCAAAAUGCAAACAGACAAAACAAACUCUGGAGAUUGGAUGGAUUUUUUGCAAAAAAAACAACGUAAGGAUGAGUUCUCACUGGAUGUUGUUGCUCAGUGGGAUUUUCUAGCGUACGCUGGGCCUGGUGGAAAGUUCUAAACCUGAUCAACUGUAGAGGUGAUGAAGAUGAGGAUGAAGUCAAACUAUCAGUGGAGGAGACGCAACCAGUGCAGUUCCAAAGCUUAGUUCAUCCAUUCUUUUCCAUUAAAAGAAAUCGUGUGCUCUGACUCUUCUUUUUAAAAAAGGAUAUUUGAGUGGGUUGAGCAGCGGAAGUGGCUGAGAUGUAAUUAGAUUUAAAUUUGUCUGUUACAUAAUACAUUAAAUUGUCUUAAUUAAG